CCCUUAGAUGCUCUGGGCCGCACGCGCGCUACACUGAUGCAUUCAACGAGUCUAAAACCUGCUCUGAUAGGGGUGGGUAAUCUUUUGAAUGUGCAUCGUGAUUGGGAUAGAUGAUUGCAAUUUUUCAUCUUCAACGAGGAAUGCCUAGUAAACGCAAGUCAUCAGCUUGCAUUGAUUACGUCCCUGCCCUUUGUACACACCGCCCGUCGCUCCUACCGAUUGAAUGAUCCGAUGAAUAUCAUGGAUUGAGGAUGCAAGUAGGUUCGCCUAUCUUCAUCUUCGAGAAGUGAAGUAAAUCUUAUCAUUUAGAGGAAGGAGAAGUCGUAACA
Molecule: ribosomal RNA, 329 nt
Filed under: uncultured eukaryote
Lineage: Eukaryota
Description: partial 18S ribosomal RNA
Rfam family: Eukaryotic small subunit ribosomal RNA
Source: RNAcentral